RNAcentral lists this ribosomal RNA (471 nucleotides) under uncultured bacterium. RNAcentral describes it as "partial 16S ribosomal RNA". It matches the Rfam family "Bacterial small subunit ribosomal RNA", at positions 28 to 507 of the family's 1533-position model. The record is from RNAcentral.
GACGAACGCUGGCGGCGUGCUUAACACAUGCAAGUCGAACGAUGAAGCCUAGCUUGCUAGGUGGAUUAGUGGCGAACGGGUGAGUAAUACGUGAGUAACCUACCUUUAACUCUGGGAUAAGCCCGGGAAACUGGGUCUAAUACCGGAUACGACCAAUCUCCGCAUGGGGUGUUGGUGGAAAGCGUUAUGUAGUGGUUAUAGAUGGGCUCACGGCCUAUCAGCUUGUUGGUGAGGUAACGGCUCACCAAGGCGACGACGGGUAGCCGGCCUGAGAGGGUGACCGGCAACACUGGGAAUGAGACACGGCCCAGACUCCUACGGGAGGCAGCAGUGGGGAAUAUUGCACAAUGGGCGCAAGCCUGAUGCAGCGACGCCGCGUGAGGGAUGACGGCCUUCGGGUUGUAAACCUCUGUUAGCAGGGAAGAAGAGAGAUUGACGGUACCUGCAUAGAAAGCGCCGGCUAACUACGUG